Molecule: ribosomal RNA, 261 nt
Filed under: uncultured prokaryote
Description: partial 16S ribosomal RNA
Rfam family: Bacterial small subunit ribosomal RNA
Source: RNAcentral
UACGGAGGAUGCGAGCGUUAUCCGGAUUUAUUGGGUUUAAAGGGUGCGUAGGCGGCUUUUUAAGUCAGCGGUGAAAUUUUGCAGCUUAACUGUAACAGUGCCGUUGAUACUGGGGAGCUAGGAUUUGGUUGCUGUGGGUGGAAUGUGUGGUGUAGCGGUGAAAUGCUUAGAGAUCACACAGAACUCCGAUUGCGAAGGCAGCUUACUAAGCUACAACUGACACUGAAGCACGAAAGCGUGGGGAUCAAACAGGAUUAGAUA